CCUACGGGAGACAGCAGUAGGGAAUCUUCCACAAUGGGCGAAAGCCUGAUGGAGCAACGCCGCGUGGGUGAAGAAGGUCUUCGGAUCGUAAAACCCUGUUGUUAGAGAAGAAAGUGCGUGAGAGUAACUGUUCACGUUUCGACGGUAUCUAACCAGAAAGCCACGGCUAACUACGUGCCAGCAGCCGCGGUAAUACGUAGGUGGCAAGCGUUAUCCGGAUUUAUGGGGCGUAAAGGGAACGCAGGCGGUCUUUUAAGUCUGAUGUGAAAGCCUUCGGCUUAACCGGAGUAGUGCAUUGGAAACUGGGAGACUUGAGUGCAGAAGAGGAGAGUGGAACUCCAUGUGUAGCGGUGAAAUGCGUAGAUAUAUGGAAGAACACCAGUGGCGAAAGCGGCUCUCUGGUCUGUAACUGACGCUGAGGUUCGAAAGCGUGGGUAGCAAACAGGAUUAGAUACCCGUGUAGUC
RNAcentral lists this ribosomal RNA (465 nucleotides) under uncultured bacterium. RNAcentral's name for it is "partial 16S ribosomal RNA". It matches the Rfam family "Bacterial small subunit ribosomal RNA", at positions 338 to 795 of the family's 1533-position model. The record is from RNAcentral.